GUUCUUUGUUUUUUUGCUUUCGUGAGCAUUCAUGAUGAUGUAUUAUGUCUUUCUGAUUUCAUAUACUUAUUAGGUUAUUCUAUUUACUUAAUAGAUUCUUAUAUUAUUUGUCAUGUUUGUUUCUUGUUAUUCAUAGAUAAGUUCCUCACACCGAUACAAAUUCCGAAGGAAGAGCACGUUCUGACCCAUAUUUUACAGGUUAGCAACACCAAAUAUGUAUUAGUUGUCCUCGACAAAUUCGAUGCACAACAGAAGACUAUGUUCGAGGAAAGUUGUUUAGGACAUGUCGUGAAGUUGCUCAAGCUCAAAUUAUCUGCAUAAUUAGUUCAUGAAAUGGUUAAUAGAUGAGUGAUUUGCUGAAAACGUUUUGAGGCUUGGUUCAAGGUCAAUCAAUGGUUUACAAGAUUUGGAAUGUCGGAGUUCUCACUGAUCACGGGCUUAAAUUGUGGAGAAUUGCCUAAAAGGUUGGCUUUCGACAACAUUCUAGAGAAAACUAGGCUACGAGACAAAAUGUUUAUUUAUGGAGAUUGGAUAACUUUUAGCGAUUUGUAGAAGGUUUUCUUGAAAUGUGCUAACCGUAACGAUCGUUACAAACUUGGUUUGGUAUAUAAUUAUUGAAGGGGUUUUAAUUCGAGAUACCUAAAUGUGGGGAUUCAUCCUAAACUCUCGUCAUUAUGGACGACUUAGAUUUCUUCAUUGCUUACCCAUGGAGGACAGUAUGUUUUAAACUUCUUAUCAAAUUAGUGCUCCGUGGAUGAAGGAGAAAUGUGGACUUGGCAAAGGUCAACGAUUAUGACAGGAUGUCUUACACGUACGGAUUCCUUCUUGCUAUUCAGUAUGUCUGUUUAUUUCAUUCAUAUUCAUUGUACAUUGUUAUUUAUGUCCGUAUGUGGUAAUCACUGUUAUACAUGUGCUGCAAUUGUGGGUGUACGAGGCAAUCCCAAAGUUGGGAGCUCGAUUUGUGAGCAAGAUUAGUGACGACCUUUCGAGGAUGUUGCGGUGGUCACCACCAGAUAGCCUCAAUCGAGAACAUAUUUAAAUUUCUUCGACAAGACACACAUGAGCAUUUAUAUAUACAACUGCCCUUACACUAGUAGCAUAUAUCACAAUUUUAUUUGACAAGACACUUUUCCUCCCUUUGUGGUUGCACUUGUGGACACUAUCUCUGAAGAAGAAUAGCAGCCAUACUUUGCUACUUUACUUCCAUUAGAUGAUGUUACUGACCAAUUUUUGACAAUCUCGUCAUUCAAUCAACUGAAAUACAAGAUUACCUGUCAAAAGGCAAAGUGAUACGCAAUGACGAGAAAAACAACCGAUGCAACAGAUUCAGGAGAGGUAACACAAGUGGGAUUCGUCUUCGAGAUUUCAGUGACGAUAAAGGGGGAGAAAAAGAGCAUUGUGAUCCAGUCCAGGACUUUCCAUCCAUUUUUGGCUUGGAAAAUCAUCUAAUAGCAAGCCAUGUGUAUACGGAUGAGAUAAAAGGCAUGUUGAUUUAACAUAGAGAGUUCAUUGGGAUUACGCUGUGUAAAUUGAGGGACAAAAUGAACGCAAGGUUCAAUGGUCUUGAAAAGAAAAUGGGGGAUCAUGUGCACAAGAUGAAUGAGCAUUGACUGAUUAGAUAAGUGUGAUCAAAUGAAAGUUUGAGGAUGUAGUUACAGAAAUUGGGAGAGAAAAUGUGCGUGAUGAGUAUGGUGCAUUUGGUUAUGGUGAUGGUGAUGGAGAUAUGCACAAACGUGAUUACUAUGAUGAUUUCUCGUUGCCCAACACUACAAUUGACGAACAACAUGUCGAGGCAACAAGAGUACAUGCUAGCAAUGUUAAGGCAACCAAACUAGAUGUUGGCUACGUCAAGGCAACCGAAGCAAAUGCUGUAAGCAUCGAGGCAACCAAACUAGAUGCUCGCAACGUCGAUGAGUUGUCCAAAAAGUGCUUAGAUAUGGUUGCCACCAAUGCUAUACUGCCAUCUUGAGCUUGAUCCCUCAGGGUAAAGCUGUCAAAUGCUAGCACUCAGACUCCUUUUAUACGGUUCGAUUGUAGAAAGGGUAAGAGAGGUGUGUAGUUAGUUUACAAUGUUGGUGGAGUAUGGCAUUGUAUGUUUUGGAAAAUAUUUAUAACCUCAUUUUGUGUGCCAUCAUUAGGCAAAUUUUUUGGUUGAUGGUACAAUUCUCAUUGUUGAUGUAGAAUUGAAAUGGGUACAAGAGUAUUUUAUUUCAGUAAGUACAUGUUGUUUAGGACUUAUAUUGUGCACACAUUUGAAAUGUCAGUUUACGAGAAUAACAUGUAUUUUAUGUCGAGAACAACACUUUAAAUGUCGAGACAUGUCUGGAAUGUAUAAAACUCUAGGAAAUAGAAUGAAAUCUUGUUAGAUACAUGAACUAUUAAAUGUUGAGAUAAAUUGGGUCCAAAUGUCGAUAACGACUUUUCAAAUGAAGAAAACUUGAUGAAAUGUUAAGAAAUAUAUGAACUGUCGAGUGUCAAGAUAAACAAGGUCAAAUUGUUGAUAAUAACAUUCCAAAUGACGAAAACAUGGUGAAAUGUUAAGAACAAAUUUGAACUGUUCGGUGGACUGGCAAGAUGACAACGAGAUUUCCCAAUAUGAUUUUAACAAAAUGUGUGUUAUAAAUUCAUGCUGGUAAUAGAUACAAUUUCACUAUUUACACAACAAGCACAAAAUCUACAACCUAUAUCGUUAAAAUCAAUUGUAAAUACAUGGAAUAGGAGUUGGUGUGUACUCUUCUAAUGUAAGUACACCUCAUUAACCAUGCUUUACACCUCUACAUAAGCAUG
Molecule: long non-coding RNA, 2787 nt
Filed under: Olea europaea subsp. europaea
Lineage: Eukaryota; Viridiplantae; Streptophyta; Magnoliopsida; Lamiales; Oleaceae
Source: RNAcentral